Molecule: long non-coding RNA, 1269 nt
Organism: Pezoporus flaviventris
Lineage: Eukaryota; Metazoa; Chordata; Aves; Psittaciformes; Psittacidae
Exons: 3
Source: RefSeq, a predicted model, not a curated record
CCAGUCCUCAGCACACCAUGUUCAUUGCUGUUUCCCUUGCACUUUGGGCAGGUUUAUCCUCUCAAGGCAUGUCAUCUGUACCAGCUGUGAAGCCCUCACUCAUCAGUGUUAGGAGCAGAGCCUGCCUGCAGUCCUCCAUCUCCUUAAGAGACAGCCUGAGCUGCAGCACCAUAUUCCUGCACUAGGAGCAGCAGCACAACAUGGUGAGGAACUUGGGGACCUGCCAGCUGAAGGGAACUGCCAGUCUCCAUCAGGCUCUUGGCAAACUCUUAAUGUGGUGAAAUCCUGCAGUCAAGAGUUGGGGGAAUAGAAGGUGAGUCACAAUCAGCCACAAGGGAAACCUUCAGAUUCCAAAUCACCAGACAGCAACUCCCUGAUUGCCCAAAGGAGUGGUCAGUGCAGACUGCAACAAUCAACACAUUCCCCACCUGCCUUUGCCAAGGGCUGAAAACCUGCCAAAAGCUGCUGCUGCAGCCUCCAUCCCAAAUGCCCAGAUGCAGGCUCUAAACCAACAGUUUGAGCAGGUGAAAGGAUCCUUUCCUGGAAAGGAACAAAAGGGGAAGUCCUGCAGCUAUCUGAAUUUGUCAAGCCCUAUCAGUUUCAGCACCACCCAGGGAGCACAGCUUCAUAUGCAGAAUGAUCACUAAUGACUCAUGUUCACAGCCCAAUCCAGUUUGCUCCACCCCACACAACACCUUUGAAAACGUCUUUAUGCUUAAAGGAUGGUGUCAGUUAAGCAGCCACUGCAAAAAGUAACUCGGUUACAAGAAAAUCUCCAUUUCAGUGUGAAUCUGGUUGCUAUUCUGCAAGACAACAUCAAGAAAUCCUUUGGUGAGCCUAAGGCCGGAGCAUGUGAUGAACUGAAAAGAGUGGCUCCUGAAUUUGCUUAUACAGAUGCAUCUUUGGGAAAGCUUUUCCACGUGCAAUCUGGCAGCACUGCCGACUUUCAACCACUGCAGGAGUUCCAAUCUGAAGGCAAAAGCUUUCAAAGCAGUAUCUAAAUUCUUUCACAGAAUUUCCCAGCUGCAGUAAAUGAGUCUGUUCUUACAUUAGCUACAACGAAUGGGAGCCAGUAUGAGCAGCUAUAUUAAAGAGUGAAUGCUUGCAAAACAAACCAGACUUCUGCCUGAGGAAUGUAACCAAAUUAUCUCCAUGUAGACUAAACAGGCUGAACAGGCAGUGUAGAGAGUCGGCAAUGACAGAGACCUGAGCUCUGGCACCAAUUCAAGUUACUGUGCACUGGUAACCACCCAACCCCAUGGCUCACCU